GUGCCAGCCGCCGCGGUAAUACGUAGGGUGCAAGCGUUAAUCGGAAUUACUGGGCGUAAAGCGUGCGCAGGCGGUUAUGUAAGACAGAUGUGAAAUCCCCGGGCUCAACCUGGGAACUGCAUUUGUGACUGCAUGGCUAGAGUACGGUAGAGGGGGAUGGAAUUCCGCGUGUAGCAGUGAAAUGCGUAGAUAUGCGGAGGAACACCGAUGGCGAAGGCAAUCCCCUGGACCUGUACUGACGCUCAUGCACGAAAGCGUGGGGAGCAAACAGG
This 272-nucleotide ribosomal RNA is filed under the name uncultured bacterium. RNAcentral's name for it is "partial 16S ribosomal RNA". It matches the Rfam family "Bacterial small subunit ribosomal RNA", at positions 505 to 776 of the family's 1533-position model. The record is from RNAcentral.